AAGUAGGAAGAACACACAAUUUCCCAUAAGGAAUCACAUUUCCUUCCAUUUCAGCAGAAAAGGCUGCUCUCACUUGUGUGUGAGCUCAGCCAUAUCCUUCCUGAUAGGUAACACAGACAUGAGCAGUGGAAAUAUGAAGUUAAGGGAAUAGUUCUGCAAACUGGUUCCACUAUGCUGACCCUGCUCCCAACCCACAUGUGCUUUCUUUCAAAAAGCAAUUUGCCUGCAACACUGCCUGGCUUCAGUCAAUAGGCUAUGUUGCAUUUCUCAGCAAACACCCUUUUAUCUGCAAGAGAAAUGCAGGCCCGAAAUGCUGACAAGAACACGUUCCCCAGAAGGGUGGUGGACUUUUGCUAUGCAUUCACAGCCAGAUUCCAGAACUUAGGGAGCUGAGGAUAAUUUCCCCGACCCAUAAAUGCUGAAUUAAAACUGGUCAGCAAAGGCCAAAGUGAAAUGGAGUUGCCUUGGACGUGUUACCAAGAGCAUUAGGGACUUAGAAGCCUGAUGCAAUCCUGUUGUCAGUCAAAAGUCAAAAGGUGGCGCUGGGUGGGACUAUAGAAUCUUCUCUGGGGACCUCCAAUGAAACUAGAGGGCAGGAGGGCUAUAUUGUCCUUUCUGAGAGAACCCACUCUAUCCCUUGAGAGUGUCCCCUUGCCCCCUUUCCUAGCUCUCUGCUAAAAUUUGCUAUUCUUUUAUGGCAUCCUCUCAAGCACGAACAUGAGAAGCUAGGGUACAGACCUCUGCAGCUGCCUCCCUCAGGUUCUGCAGGUGGGUCUCUUUUGCAACACUUCCCACACACGCUCAUGCGUGUAUGGCCAAGUAGUGUUUUGAGGUAUAGUUUUAUGUACCCUGUAUUUCCGUCUCCUCCCCAACUCCUAUGUAUCAGGUAGUGAUCACUCUGUACCUAUUAAUGUGGGUAAAGCAUGCUGUAAACUGUAAUUUUUUUCUUUCUUUCUUUUUUUUUUUUUUUGUACUUGGGACUGAACCCAGAGGUGCUUAACCACGGAGCCACAUCCCCAGCCCUUUUAUAUAUUUUAUUUAGAGACAGGAUCUUGCUAGGUUGCUUAGGCCUUGCUGAAUUGUUGAGGCUGGGUUUGAACUUUCCAUCCUCCUGUUUCAGCCUCCCAAGUUGCUGGGAUUACAGGCAUGUGCCACCGCGCCUGGCCAAUGUAAGCAGUAUUUUCAACUGCUGCUUCUCACUUAGCUGCCCUCCUAUGGAAGAAUUGUGGCUCACAUUCUUAGGCUGUCUAUCCUAGUGCAUAAUCUGCACAGGAUACACUCUAUCUGCUGAAGGUCCCACCAUGUAGGAGUAAGACUGAAAUUUCCCCUUCUUCCUCUUCCCCAAACCAGGGGCUUCCAACCAAUUGUGGUGCAUUUUCUGCUUGCUUUCUGUUCUUUGCCUGAGUGCAUAAUCACGAAUAUGUCUCCUUUCUACAAAAAGUGGGAUGGUGCUUAUGUUUAUUACCUCAUGGGGACAAGGGGUACACUUUCUCGAUGGUGGUGCUCCACAAAUACACAGAGUCAAAUUGGCAGAAGAGUGGGUUGUAUGCAAGCCAGCUCUAGAGAGGGAUAGAGAAAAUAUUUUUUUCACAGUCUUCAGAAGACUCAAGGGUGAGGAAAGCUGUUGGGACAAAAGUACAUAAGCAGAUGUAGCUAGGUUGUGUUAUGCCAGGCUGCUAGCUGGGGCAGGGGGUGACCAGUUCCCUGCAUGAGAAGUGAAGACAAUUUGGAGCUUUAAUUCUUAGUGUGUGGGGCCACCCCUGAGCUAUUUAGUGUCAUCUUUCAGCCUUGAGCCAAAGAGAUUUGGGUCUGGCUUUGCACGCUGUUUUGUGGCCCCUCCCACUUGAUGGAUUGCCGCAGAUACAUGUGGCCUUUACCUCCGCUGGGCUAAGGAGUCUGCUUUCUCAGAGCUCUGGAUCUGGAUAUUACCCCUUGCCUUAUUUGGUGAAGAACACUCCAUCGAAAUUUUUUUUUAAGCCCCCUUGUAUAAAUAAAGGAAACACAGGUUCUCACAUUCUCUUUUUCCAGUGUGGAAGCUUGGCCUGUAAGUACAAAGAGCCAUCCUGCCCCCACUUUAUAAAAACCUGUGGUCUUUUCGCCACCAGCCUACUCCACGCAGAGGGGCCCUGUUUCCAUGGCAUGCACGGGAUGUGGGCAGGAUCUCAGUAUGUGGAAGUUGCCCUUAAUUUCAGAGGGAUUCUGUUUCAUGCGCACUGGCAUACCUCAAGAUCUUACCCAUCAGUGCCUGUUUUGCUGUCUUUGAUGACUGAACAGGGUUUCUGUCAUGUCAUUUCUGCUAGAUCAGGUGUUUUUUUGUGUUUUUUUUUUUUUAGUACCAGGGAUUGAACUCAGGGACACUCAACCACUGAGCCACAUCCCCAGCCCUAUUUUUUUUUUUUUUCUAAAGGCAG
This 2411-nucleotide long non-coding RNA is filed under the name Marmota monax (woodchuck). Lineage: Eukaryota; Metazoa; Chordata; Mammalia; Rodentia; Sciuridae. The record is from RNAcentral.